RNAcentral lists this ribosomal RNA (253 nucleotides) under uncultured bacterium. RNAcentral's name for it is "partial 16S ribosomal RNA". It matches the Rfam family "Bacterial small subunit ribosomal RNA", at positions 524 to 776 of the family's 1533-position model. The record is from RNAcentral.
UACGUAGGGUGCAAGCGUUAAUCGGAAUUACUGGGCGUAAAGCGUGCGCAGGCGGCUUUGCAAGACAGAUGUGAAAUCCCCGGGCUUAACCUGGGAACUGCAUUUGUGACUGCAUGGCUAGAGUGCGGCAGAGGGGGAUGGAAUUCCGCGUGUAGCAGUGAAAUGCGUAGAUAUGCGGAGGAACACCGAUGGCGAAGGCGGCGCUCUGGACCGAGACUGACGCUGAGGCGCGAAAGCGUGGGGAGCAAACAGG